GGUUAAGCGACUAAGCGUACACGGUGGAUGCCCUGGCAGUCAGAGGCGAUGAAGGACGUGCUAAUCUGCGAAAAGCGCCGGCGAGGUGAUAUGAACCUUUGACCCGGCGAUGUCCGAAUGGGGAAACCCAGUGUGAUUCGUCACACUAUCGUUAACUGAAUACAUAGGUUAACGAGGCGAACCGGGGGAACUGAAACAUCUAAGUACCCCGAGGAAAAGAAAUCAACCGAGAUUCCCCCAGUAGCGGCGAGCGAACGGGGAGCAGCCCAGAGUCUGAAUCAGCUUGUGUGUUAGUGGAACGGUCUGGAAAGUCCGACGGUACAGGGUGAUAGUCCCGUACACGAAAACACACAGGUUGUGAACUCGAAGAGUAGGGCGGGACACGUGGUAUCCUGUCUGAAUAUGGGGGGACCAUCCUCCAAGGCUAAAUACUCCUGACUGACCGAUAGUGAACCAGUACCGUGAGGGAAAGGCGAAAAGAACCCCGGCGAGGGGAGUGAAAAAGAACCUGAAACCGUGUACGUACAAGCAGUGGGAGCACCUUCGGGUGUGACUGCGUACCUUUUGUAUAAUGGGUCAGCGACUUAUAUUCUGUAGCAAGGUUAACCGUAUAGGGGAGCCGAAGGGAAACCGAGUCUUAACUGGGCGUUAAGUUGCAGGGUAUAGACCCGAAACCCGGUGAUCUAGCCAUGGGCAGGUUGAAGGUUGGGUAACACUAACUGGAGGACCGAACCGACUAAUGUUGAAAAAAUUAGCGGAUGACUUGUGGCUGGGGGGGAAAGGCCAAUCAAACCGGGAGAUAGCUGGUUCUCCCCGAAAGCUAUUUAGGUAGCGC
Molecule: ribosomal RNA, 835 nt
Filed under: Enterobacter sichuanensis
Lineage: Bacteria; Pseudomonadati; Pseudomonadota; Gammaproteobacteria; Enterobacterales; Enterobacteriaceae
Description: partial 23S ribosomal RNA
Rfam family: Bacterial large subunit ribosomal RNA
Source: RNAcentral